AAAAUCUACAUCUUGACAAAGAAACAGAUGGGGUUUCUUGUCCACACAGACUUUCUGUCUCCUGAACAUCAGCUGGAGAUGAUUCUUGAAGAAGAGAAAGAAUUAUAAGAGGAGAGAGGAGACACUCCAUAUGAUUCCUCCUCGUCUUUCUACGGCACUUAACACUUGAAGAACAAAGGAAACAGCAUCAGACUGGGGAAGGGUUCCUGACUGAAAGAGAUUCAGCCAAUGCACAGAAUGCUUUCAAAGUACGGCUUAGUAUCAAAACAGCUUUGGGAGAUAAUGCAGUAAGUAAAGUAUCUUCAUGUAUUCUUUCUGACUGAAUAACUGACUAAGUAUAG
RNAcentral lists this long non-coding RNA (341 nucleotides) under Gopherus evgoodei (Goodes thornscrub tortoise). RNAcentral's name for it is "lncRNA (ENSGEVG00005000400.1)". The record is from RNAcentral. Lineage: Eukaryota; Metazoa; Chordata; Testudines; Testudinidae.